This is a long non-coding RNA of Bos taurus (domestic cattle), 1627 nucleotides long. The record is from Ensembl. NCBI's taxonomy places the organism in Eukaryota, Metazoa, Chordata, Mammalia, Artiodactyla, Bovidae.
GGUUUGUGGCUGUGAUACAAAUAAGGCAAAUAAUUUAAAACAAAUACUUGCAGAAUAUGUUUGACUUUCAUUUUGUCCUUGGAAAAUUUGGGGCCUAAGUUAAAGAUUCACAGAGAAGUCAAAAGGCUACCAGACACAAAUACUACCUUAAGAGCUCAGCUUCUGGGAGAGAAAAACCUGGGUUUGGAUCCAGCUGUACUCAGUAUUUCUGGCAUCUCAUCCAAGCACUUGACUCCUCUAAGAAUUGUAUUUCUCAUUUUUAACAUGUGAGUAACAACAGAAGCAACCUCUGUGAUGGUAAAGGCUCCAAGGUGGGUUUGCAUUUCCCACUUGGAAAGAAGGCCAACGCCCCCAGAAAGGAGUGCAUGUGGCCAUUCAAGGGUGCCUACUGAUUUCAUCCAUAGUAUGCCAGGUGGGAUAUGGGAAGACUAUGUUAACGGUAAUACUUCAUCAGAAAUGGAGAAAACCAAGUAAAAGCUCAUUCAGCUUUACUGCCGAAAACAACUCACCAAAUGUUUGACAUACAAAGAAAACACAGCUUUAAGGCAAAGAAUUGUAGACGUGCAAAAGGACAACUGAUGUCACAACAAACAGAAACCACAACUGCUCCAAGUGCUAAUCUUCAGGAGGCCUUACCAGAGCUACAUCUUGUUUGGGACCUAAUCCCCAAAGAGCUUAAAGCACUUCACAAAUUUAUUUGAGUCACCAGUACAUUAGCAAAGUGUCAAAAGGGUAGAUAAUUUGCACUUUUUUUUUUUUUUUACAGAUUAACACACAAAAAAAGAAAUGAUAGCUGACCUUGAACACAUUUCUCCUGGUUCUUAGACUGAUUUUUCCUUUGAUCCCAUUUUAUCUCAUUGAAACAUGGAUACACCUGUCCCUUUCCAUACAUAUCCCAAUUGUCCUUGGGGACAAAGAAUCUCUUUUAUAUAAAUCCAACACUAUUCCUGGAGAAGGAAAUAGCAACCCACUCCAGUAUUCCUGCCUGGAGAAUCCCAGGGACAGAGGAGCCUGGUAGGCUACAGUCCAUGGGGUCGCAAAGAGUCAGACACGACUGAGCGACUUCACUUCACUUCAUAACAGUUGUGGGAAAAAAAAUUAGGUCAUACAAUGAACGUGAAGAUCUGGUGUGGAGACAGAGAUGUAGAAAGGGAAAAAGCUUAAAACCAUCUGAAAAGUAUCUGUGUCUUUGAAAUUUACAGAUGGGGAAACUAAGGCCAAAGUCACAUACUAACUUUUAUUUUUUUUACUGCUUAGGGAAUUGCCUUCAAGAAGCAAAAAGCAUUACAAUAUAAAGGUAUAUUUAGUGAACAGUUAUUUUCUUUAAAAACAUACAUGACCUCUAUUAGAGUUUCAUAGCUUAGGGCCUCUUGUUAUAUACUCACAAAUCACUCUAUCUUAGUAUUUAUCACAAUUGCAAUUAAUUAAUACAUGCUUAAUUGCUUAUUUAACUUUGAUUUCUCUAAACAAAAAGUCCUAGGAGGGUAGGACUGUGACUGUGGUUUCACAGUAAUAUUCCCAGUGUAUCUGGCACUGUUUUGUUUUAAAUUAAUAAACUGUAUUUUUUAGAGCAGUUUUAGGUUUACAGCAAAAUGAAGCAGAAGGUAGAGACAGUUCCCAUAUAUUC